UGGUGGAGUGAUUUGUCUGGUUAAUUCCGAUAACGGACGAGACUCUGUCCUGCUAACUAGGUUGUGUUUUCUCGGGUUGGUGUUUCUGGUGUUCCUUCUCGGGGCGCCGGCCCAAUCCACUUGUGAACACAACACUCUUCUUAGAGGGACUGGCGGCUGUUAGCCGCACGAGAUAGAGCAAUAACA
RNAcentral lists this ribosomal RNA (186 nucleotides) under uncultured eukaryote. Its description in RNAcentral is "partial 18S ribosomal RNA". It matches the Rfam family "Eukaryotic small subunit ribosomal RNA", at positions 1299 to 1458 of the family's 1831-position model. The record is from RNAcentral.